GCAGACACAUUCCAGCCAAUCAGCAGCAGACCCUCCCUCCCACACCCUCCCACCUCCUGGACAGCUCACUAAGAAUGCAGCUUCACAAUGAAUGUAAAAUGGAUGCUGUCCAGGAGGUGGGAGGGUCUGGGAGGGAGGGUCUGCUGCUGAUUGGCUGGAAUGUGUCUG
Non-coding RNA from Pelobates cultripes (western spadefoot toad), 168 nucleotides. NCBI's taxonomy places the organism in Eukaryota, Metazoa, Chordata, Amphibia, Anura, Pelobatidae. The record is from the annotation of a GenBank genome assembly.